AACAAAAUAACUCAUGUCAAAAUCCUUCACUUGGUUCCAGUUACAUUUUUCUUAAUACUCCCAUUCUCUUCAUUAAUCAGUUCUUUAUUCUGAAUUCCAGACAUUUAUGCAUUGAAUAAGUAGUCAUUUUGCGUUGUAUUUUAAUGCAAGUUUAUAUGAUUUACUUUAAGUAAUGUUUUGAAUUUAUUUUUUCAUUUUUGAACUUUUCAUUUUGAAAUGAAGACUUGGUAAACAGUUUCAAAAAUAGUACAAAUAAUUCCUGCAUAUCCUUCACCCAGUUCCCCCAAAUGUUUCAUCUCAAAAAACCACAGUAAAAUGAUCAGAAUCAGGAAGUUAGCACUAUACAAUAAUAUUAACUUAUUUAUGGUCUCUAUUUAAAUUAUACCAUGUAUCCCACUAAUAUCCUUUUUCUGGCCUAGAUUCCAAUCCAGGAUCCCACAUUGCAUUUAAUUGACAUAUCUUCUUGAUUUCCUUCCAUCUGUGAAAGUUCCUUAGCCUUUGUCUUUCAUGGUCUUGACACUUCUGAAGAGUGUUAAGAUUUAAUUCAGAUUAUGCCUUGUUGGCAAAAUUCCAUACACCUGAUGUAAUGCUGCUUCCACUGGGUGUGAGGAGGGCUCUUCUAUUGGAAAAUAAGCUUCAUCAGAAUUUAGGGGCUCACUAUCACCAGCAUUAUCAGAGUCUUCCCACAUGUACCCACUUUAACUUACAGGAUCCAACUUAUUUCCUGAUCGAUAUCCUCAUUUUAAUAGUAGAUACCUUGUAUUAUAGGAGAUAAGGGUCUCCUUCAUAGCAUACAUAGAUGUUUUGAGGUCAUUUAUGUGGCACUUGAGGUGGGAAUUUGAAUCCCAGAGCUCAUCCUUAUUUCAUCAUUUUGCCCAUUGACAUCAGGAACAACCAUCUAAUGUCAUUACAUUUAUUAGACUCCCCAAAAUGUUCAAAAGUAUUAUAUACAUAGUCACCCAGCUCCUUCCUUCUUGUACUUCCUUCAGAUCAAGCCAUACUUGAUCUGGCCAUAAAGGUACCCUAAAUAUCUCCACUUGAUAACCCUAACUAACAGUGCUCUUUUUACUACUGAAGAUAGAGUCAUUAGUGUCUUUAAAUCCAAUCAGAUUAGACUCUCAAUUCUAGAAGCCCCAGAACCAAUUACUCCUGAUAACAAAAUCAUCUAUGUUAACCAGGGUUCUCCAAAGAAACAGGGUGAUAUGGUUUGGCUCUGUGUCCCCACCCAAAUCUCACCUUGAAUUAUACUCCCAUAAUUCCCAUGUGUUGUGGGAGGGACCCAGUGGGAGAUAAUUUGAAGCAUGGGGCAAUUCCCCCAUACUGUUCUCAUGGUAGUGAAUAAGUCUUACGAGAUUGAUGGUUUUAUCAAGGAUUUUUGCUUUUGCAUCUUCCUCAUUUUCUCUUGCUGCCACCGUGUAAGAAGUGCCUUUCUCCUCCUAUCAUGAUUCUGAGGCCUCCCCAGUCAUGUGGAACUUGUAAGUCCGAUUAAACCUCUUUUUCUUCCCAGUCUUGGGUAUGUCUUUAUCAGCAACAUGAAAACAGACUAAUACAUAGGGCCAGUAGGAGAUAGAGAGAGAGAAUGUAUGUGUGUGUGAGAGAGAGACAGAGAGAGAGGGAUUGAGAGAGAUUUAUUAUAAGGAAUGGGCUGAUGUGAUUAUGGGGACUGAGAAGUCCCGGCAGAAGAGCUGAUGGUACAUACAUUCCAGUUUGAGUAGGAAGGCCUGAGAAGCAAGUGAGCUGAUAGUGUUGGUUCCAGUCUGACAGUGAAGGUCUGAGAACCAGGAAAGCCAAUGAUGUAAGAUUCAGUCUGAAUUUAGGCCCAAAAGCAGAAGACUUCUGUCACAGUUUGAAGACAGGAAGAGAGAAAACAUUCUUUCUCACUUAUAUUAGGUUGGUGCAAAAGUAUUUUGCCAUUACUUUUAAUGGCAAAAACCAUGAUUACUUUGCACCAACAGAAUACUUUUAGUCCAUUCAGGCCUCCAAAAAAUGGAAAGAGGCCCGCACACAUUGCAGAUGGAAAUCUGCUUUAUUCAGUUUACUAAUUCAAAUGUUAACCUCAUCAAGAAAUACCCACAUAGACAUUCCCAUAAGUAAUGUUUAGCUAAAUAUCUGGGCACUACAUGGCCCUGUUAAGUUGACACAUAAAAUGAACCAUCACACCUUCUAAACACAUCAAAUCAGGAGGCACAUAAUGACAUUUUGUCUAAUUACUAGUGAUGUUAACUUAGAUCACUUGGAUAAGGCAGUCUUUCAAAUUUUCUUCACUUAACAUUAUUUUCCUCUUUGUAUUUGGUAAAUUUCUCGUGGCAAGAUAAUUGAGACCAUGUAAAUAUCCUGUUUUUCAUCACACCCUUACCUAUUAAUGAUUCUUGAUUGAGGUAAUUAUUACUGUAAUGUUAUCAAAUGAUGAUUUUAUAUUUCUGUUAUUUCUUCUAUAUUUAUUAAUUUGAAUUCUCUUAUUUAUUUCUUGAAUGAUUGGUAUCAGUAUGGACUCAUCAAUAUAUAUUUUUUAUUUUGGGGGUUAUAGUCCAUUAUUCUCAUUAUUAAUUUUGUUACUCAACUUGUCAUAGAUUUGGGCAUUAGGGGAUCUUCUUUAAAUCAUAUUUAAACAGCUUUGCUGUAUGAAUCCUCAUGGUUAGGUAUGUAAGGUUUGUAUAAAUAAACAAAUUUUCUCUAUUAUUAUAGCAAUCCAGGUUUCUUCGCAUAGAAAUGCCUUAAAAAGUUUUUUUAUCUUAAAAAUGUUUAAUUAAAAGUACUACACUAGAUAAUGGAAACUUAGUAACCACCCCAGAUA
RNAcentral lists this long non-coding RNA (2794 nucleotides) under Homo sapiens (human). RNAcentral describes it as "HSALNT0315538". The record is from RNAcentral. Lineage: Eukaryota; Metazoa; Chordata; Mammalia; Primates; Hominidae.